CCCUUUUAACCUCUUUACACGUUUAUUUUCGUACUCCUCGUUCUGUAGAUUCAACUGAUCUAAUAAGAUCCUCUAUAACAGGUGGUUAAUAAAAAAGGAACUGGUGAAUGUAAAUUCACGAAAAGCAAAUGCACUUUGCAGCUGGUUGCCAAAACUUAAAUAUUGUAAAACAAGAUCAGCACUUUACUUACAUAAUAUUCUUCAUUAACGUCGACCUUUCUUCUUCUUUUAAUAAUGUCUAACUCUGCAUCCCGGGACAAGGAUUUAACUUGUUCAUCUCGUCUGUUAAAUUUGACUUGGGAAAUGGGGAUCAAGCAUGACCAGACUAAUAAUACUGAGCUCAAAAACGGCAAUCCAACGUAAAUAAACGGACUUUUCUUGGCUUGAAGCCUAUACCAACUUUUAAAUCGAUAGAAAAGCAUUUUAAUUUAUUAACAUCCUUACAUUCGCUGAAAACGAUGGAUUGUUAAGAAUGUGUAGUAAAUAGCAAGUUGGUUAAGAUGAUUAUGGCAAACUUCAC
Non-coding RNA from Schizosaccharomyces pombe (fission yeast), 520 nucleotides. The record is from the annotation of a GenBank genome assembly. NCBI's taxonomy places the organism in Eukaryota, Fungi, Ascomycota, Schizosaccharomycetes, Schizosaccharomycetales, Schizosaccharomycetaceae.